UACGGAGGGUGCAAGCGUUAUCCGGAUUUACUGGGUUUAAAGGGUGUGUAGGCGGACUUUUAAGUCAGCGGUGAAAUCUCCGGGCUCAACCCGGAAACUGCCAUUGAUACUGGCAACCUAGAGACUGGAAGAGGUUAGUGGAAUUCCCAGUGUAGAGGUGAAAUUCGUAGAUAUUGGGAAGAACACCAGUGGCGAAGGCGGCUAACUGGUCCAGCACUGACGCUGAGGUGCGAAAGCGUGGGGAGCAAACAGG
Molecule: ribosomal RNA, 253 nt
Filed under: uncultured bacterium
Lineage: Bacteria
Description: partial 16S ribosomal RNA
Rfam family: Bacterial small subunit ribosomal RNA
Source: RNAcentral